UACAGAGGGUGCAAGCGUUAAUCGGAAUUACUGGGCGUAAAGCGCACGUAGGCGGUUUUUUAAGUCAGAUGUGAAAGCCCCGGGCUCAACCUGGGAAUUGCAUUUGAAACUGGGAAACUAGAGUGUGUCAGAGGGGGGUAGAAUUCCACGUGUAGCAGUGAAAUGCGUAGAGAUGUGGAGGAAUACCGAUGGCGAAGGCAGCCCCCUGGGAUAACACUGACGCUCAUGCACGAAAGCGUGGGGAGCAAACAGG
Molecule: ribosomal RNA, 253 nt
Filed under: uncultured bacterium
Lineage: Bacteria
Description: partial 16S ribosomal RNA
Rfam family: Bacterial small subunit ribosomal RNA
Source: RNAcentral